This is a small nucleolar RNA of Tachysurus fulvidraco (yellow catfish), 66 nucleotides long. Lineage: Eukaryota; Metazoa; Chordata; Actinopteri; Siluriformes; Bagridae. The record is from RefSeq and is a predicted model, not a curated record.
UCUCUGUGAUGAAGAUAAACUAGCUCACUUUGACCCGAUGUGAAAAGUUACGAACAUCUGAGAGAU